Molecule: ribosomal RNA, 468 nt
Filed under: uncultured bacterium
Lineage: Bacteria
Description: partial 16S ribosomal RNA
Rfam family: Bacterial small subunit ribosomal RNA
Source: RNAcentral
GACGAACGCUGGCGGCGUGCUUAACACAUGCAAGUCGAACGGAAAGGCCCUGCUUUUGUGGGGUGCUCGAGUGGCGAACGGGUGAGUAACACGUGAGUAACCUGCCCUUGACUUUGGGAUAACUUCAGGAAACUGGGGCUAAUACCGGAUAGGAGCUCCUGCUGCAUGGUGGGGGUUGGAAAGUUUCGGCGGUUGGGGAUGGACUCGCGGCUUAUCAGCUUGUUGGUGGGGUAGUGGCUUACCAAGGCUUUGACGGGUAGCCGGCCUGAGAGGGUGACCGGCCACAUUGGGACUGAGAUACGGACCAGACGCCUACGGGAGGCAGCAGUGGGGAAUAUUGCACAAUGGGCCGAAGUCUGAUGCAGCAACGCCGCGUGCGGGAUGACGGCCUUCGGGUUGGAAACCGCUUUCGCCUGUGACGAAGCGUGAGUGACGGUAAUGGGUAAAGAAGCACCGGCUAACUACGUG